RNAcentral lists this ribosomal RNA (497 nucleotides) under uncultured bacterium. Its description in RNAcentral is "partial 16S ribosomal RNA". It matches the Rfam family "Bacterial small subunit ribosomal RNA", at positions 28 to 507 of the family's 1533-position model. The record is from RNAcentral.
GAUGAACGCUGGCGGCGUGCCUAAUACAUGCAAGUCGAGCGAACAGACGAGGAGCUUGCUCCUCUGACGUUAGCGGCGGACGGGUGAGUAACACGUGGAUAACCUACCUAUAAGACUGGGAUAACUUCGGGAAACCGGAGCUAAUACCGGAUAAUAUAUUGAACCGCAUGGUUCAAUAGUGAAAGACGGUUUUGCUGUCACUUAUAGAUGGAUCCGCGCCGCAUUAGCUAGUUGGUAAGGUAACGGCUUACCAAGGCAACGAUGCGUAGCCGACCUGAGAGGGUGAUCGGCCACACUGGAACUGAGACACGGUCCAGACGCCUACGGGAGGCAGCAGUAGGGAAUCGUCCGCAAUGGGCGAAAGCUUGACGGAGCAACGCCGCGUGAGUGAUGAAGGUCUUCGGAUCGUAAAACUCUGUUAUUAGGGAAGAACAAAUGUGUAAGUAACUAUGCACGUCUUGACGGUACCUAAUCAGAAAGCCACGGCUAACUACGUG